Molecule: ribosomal RNA, 510 nt
Filed under: uncultured bacterium
Lineage: Bacteria
Description: bacterial SSU rRNA
Rfam family: Bacterial small subunit ribosomal RNA
Source: RNAcentral
AAUCAACGCUGGCGGCGUGCCUAACACAUGCAAGUCGAACGCGAGAGGGGCUUCGGCCCCGAUUGAGUGGCGAACGGGUGAGUAACACGUGGGUGACCUACCUUCGAGUGGGGAUAACGUCCCGAAAGGGACGCUAAUACCGCAUAACAUUCCGCUUUUGAACAAGUGGAAAUCAAAGCCGGGGAUCGUAAGACCUGGCGCUUGAAGAGGGGCCCGCGUCCGAUUAGCUAGUUGGUGAGGUAACGGCUCACCAAGGCGACGGUCGGUAGCCGGCCUGAGAGGGCGGACGGCCACACUGGGACUGAGACACGGCCCAGACUCCUACGGGAGGCAGCAGUGGGGAAUUGUUCGCAAUGGGCGCAAGCCUGACGACGCAACGCCGCGUGGAGGAUGAAGGUCUUCGGAUUGUAAACUCCUGUUGCUCGGGACGAAAUGCUCCAGCCUAACACGUUGGAGUUUGACGGUACCGGUGAGGAGCCCGGCUAACUCUGUGCCAGCCGCCGCCGUAAC